GCCCUCACCAACCCACUCCUGGACCCCCUGCAGUUUGCCUAUAGAGCCAACAGGUCUGUAGACGACGCAGGAUGAAAAGAAGAAC
Molecule: long non-coding RNA, 85 nt
Organism: Sander lucioperca (pikeperch)
Lineage: Eukaryota; Metazoa; Chordata; Actinopteri; Perciformes; Percidae
Exons: 3
Source: RefSeq, a predicted model, not a curated record